RNAcentral lists this ribosomal RNA (253 nucleotides) under uncultured bacterium. RNAcentral's name for it is "partial 16S ribosomal RNA". It matches the Rfam family "Bacterial small subunit ribosomal RNA", at positions 524 to 776 of the family's 1533-position model. The record is from RNAcentral.
UACGGAGGGUGCGAGCGUUAAUCGGAAUUACUGGGCGUAAAGCGUGCGUAGACGGUUAUGUAAGUCAGGUGUGAAAGCCCCGGGCUCAACCUGGGAAUGGCAUUUGAGACUGCAUAGCUAGGGUGCGGAAGAGGGAAGCGGAAUUUCCGGUGUAGCGGUGAAAUGCGUAGAUAUCGGAAGGAACAUCAGUGGCGAAAGCGGCUUCCUGGUCCAGCACCGACGUUCAGGCACGAAAGCGUGGGGAGCAAACAGG